AGAGUUUGAUCCUGGCUCAGGGUGAACGCUGGAAAUGUGGAUACUGGCAUGCAAGUCAAGGGGCCGCAAGGCACCGGCGAACGGCUUAGUAACACGUAGAUACAUACCCAAAAGUGGGGCAUAGCUCGUCGAAAGACGGGGUAAUUUCCCAUGGCACCGCAAGGUUAAAGACGCAAGUCGCUUUUGGAAUGGUCUGCGGUCUAUCAGCUAGUUGGCGGGGUAAAAGCCCACCAAGGCUAUGACGGAUAGGGGGCGUGAGAGCGCGACCCCCAAGAAUGGCACUGCGACACGGGCCAUACUCCUACGGGAGGCUGCAGUCGAGAAUCUUCCGCAAUGGGCGAAAGCCUGACGGAGCGACAUUUCGUGAUGGAUGAAGCCCUUCGGGGUGUAAACAUCUUUUAUCUGGGAGGAAGCGCAAGCUGACAGUACCAGAUGAAUAAGGGGUUACUAACUCUGUGCCAGCAGUAGCGGUAAUACAGAGACCCCGAGCGUUACCCGGAUUUAUUGGGCGUAAAGAGUCUGUAGGUGGUAGAGUAAGUUGUAAAUUAAACUUCAUCGGCUUAACCUUUGAACUGUUUACAAUACUGCUAUACUAAGAGGGCGUUAGAGGCAAACGGAACCGACGGAGUAGGGGUGAAAUCCGUUGAUAUCGUCGGGAACACCAAAAGCGAAGGCAGUUUGCUGGGACGACCCUGACACUGAGAGACGAAAGCGUGGGGAGCAAAAAGGAUUAGAUACCCUAGUAGUCC
RNAcentral lists this ribosomal RNA (749 nucleotides) under uncultured bacterium. RNAcentral describes it as "bacterial SSU rRNA". It matches the Rfam family "Bacterial small subunit ribosomal RNA", at positions 8 to 796 of the family's 1533-position model. The record is from RNAcentral.